GGACUACAAGGGUAUCUAAUCCUGUUUGCUACCCACGCUUUCGUGUCUCAGUGUCAGUUCAGGCCCAGGUGAUUGCCUUCGCCAUCGAUGUUCCUCCCGAUAUCUACGCAUUUCACCGCUACACCGGGAAUUCCGUCACCCUCUACCGAACUCUAGCUCUCCAGUAUCGACUGCAAUUCCCAGGUUGAGCCCAGGGCUUUCACAAUCGACUUAGCGAGCCACCUACUCACGCUUUACGCCCAGUAAAUCCGAUUAACGCUUGCACCCUCUGUAUUACCGCGGCGGCUGGCAC
This 292-nucleotide ribosomal RNA is filed under the name uncultured bacterium. RNAcentral describes it as "partial 16S ribosomal RNA". The record is from RNAcentral. RNAcentral also lists the same sequence under 1 other name.